GCUUGAAACACAGGUUCCCGUUCGAUCACUGAAGUUAAGAAACGUCGAGCUUGGUCACUAUCUAGGUGGGUGACCAUUUCAAAAUAUCAGGUGCUGCAA
This is a non-coding RNA of Acanthosepion pharaonis, 99 nucleotides long. Lineage: Eukaryota; Metazoa; Mollusca; Cephalopoda; Sepiida; Sepiidae. The record is from the annotation of a GenBank genome assembly.